This 77-nucleotide transfer RNA is filed under the name Azoarcus sp. Its description in RNAcentral is "tRNA-Arg". It matches the Rfam family "tRNA". Rfam says of the family: Transfer RNA (tRNA) molecules are approximately 80 nucleotides in length. Their secondary structure includes four short double-helical elements and three loops (D, anti-codon, and T loops). Further hydrogen bonds mediate the characteristic L-shaped molecular structure. tRNAs have two regions of fundamental functional importance: the anti-codon, which is responsible for specific mRNA codon recognition, and the 3' end, to which the tRNAs corresponding amino acid is attached (by aminoacyl-tRNA synthetases). tRNAs cope with the degeneracy of the genetic code in two manners: having more than one tRNA (with a specific anti-codon) for a particular amino acid; and 'wobble' base-pairing, i.e. permitting non-standard base-pairing at the 3rd anti-codon position. RNAcentral also lists the same sequence under 6 other names. Lineage: Bacteria; Pseudomonadati; Pseudomonadota; Betaproteobacteria; Rhodocyclales; Zoogloeaceae. The record is from RNAcentral.
GCGCCUGUAGCUCAGCUGGAUAGAGUACUGCCCUCCGAAGGCAGGGGUCGUGCGUUCGAAUCGCGCCAGGCGCGCCA